GGAGGCAUUUGUGGGGCAUUCACUGGAACAGGGGGUGUUUGUCUGUUUGGGAAGCCCCUGGUCCUCAUUCCUGGCAAUGACCAGCUGAUCCGACUCUGAGGUUAAAUAUGGUUGUGCUCCUUUGGGUGAUCACUGAAUGCUGUGUGGGUGUUGGAGUAGUUGUGUUGGAGAGGUCAAAGGCCAAGGAGUAGCUCAGCCUCGGUAUGCUUGGCUUCUAAAGUAACAGGUGCCACAGGGCAACAUGAGAGUUCAUGGACUGAUGGGAAUUUUCAGGGGAGGUGUGAUCUUUGGUACCUGACCAAGAAUGUUUUUUUUCCACUCCCGUGGAUGAAAUGAGAGACAGCUGCUCCAGAGGAAAACACAGCACCAGCAGGUUGUGUAACAGGCAAAAGUGAAUCCCGGAGAGUGGUCCAUGUAGUCUCAGCACCCUGGCUAAAGGAUCCUUUCUGGCCUUUCUGGUUCCUCCACGUCUCCCAUUCUCCCAGGAUUCUAUCACAGCACUCUUUGGGUGAGUUCUUACAGUGGGUUUCAUGAUCAAGCCAAAGCCUGGGAGCUCAUUAGAGAGCUAGGUCUGGUGUAUAUAUAGUUUAGUGUAUGGACAUAAAAGAGAAGGGAUGCAAAAAGAGAUACAUGUUCCAGAACAUCUGGCGAGGCUGGUAGCUGAGGCCACAUACUUCCCAGAUGCAGAAGUGCAUUGUUGAUGAUGUCUGAUUUACUGCUACUGAUAAAACUCCUGGUUUAUUUGCUCAGCGUCCUUUAUGCAUAGAGCUGGACUAUUCAUUAAAAAGGUUUUAUGAGUUAAUGUUUUAUGGUAUGUGUAAAAAUUACACAAUACAGCUCUUCUUUUGGGAAUUCAGAGCCUGAGCUACAAUGGGCCCUUAUUUUUUCUGCUACUUGUCAUAGCACUGCCACCACCAAACUGUUUGCUCACCAGAUCUGGAGCUGUUAACCUUGGACAGUGACUACAAGUAUUUAUUUAGUCUGCUCUGGGUUAGAAGGGCCACCAUAUUGGCAGAACUCUUUCACUUGAAAUCAUGGACUCACACAUUUUGCCUCUUCCCAGUGGAAAUCCUUGCAAUUUGUCUGUGAUUAUUAUUCCAUUUGUUUUGUUCAAGCAAUGUUAUCUUCACUUAGUUCUUUUGUUCUGGUCAUUUUUUUUAGUUCUUCUGUUUUUUUUUUUGUUUUGUUUUGUUUUGUUUGUUUUUUUGUUGUUUUUUUGUACGUAGAUGUUGAUAGAAUAUGGACUUGGAUAUGAACUUGGGAAAGGAAUAUGUGUGUUAAACAUAUGUUUGCCCACAGGCUAAAAACUGUUAGAAACCAUUCAAGGUUAUUACAUCUUUUUAGUCUGUCUACCUACAGGCUACAUUGUUUUAAAAGUUUACAACUAUUUAUAAAUCGUUCUACCACCAGGAUGGAAAAUCCUUUUUUACCCAAAAAAAGAAGAGAAAAAUGGAUAUCAUUUCAACGAAGUAUAGUGUUAAAAGACAUCCUGGGAGAAAGACAGUUAGUCACUGCCUCUACAGCUGUUUCCUGACAUUUCUGCAAAAUGUUGUGGAAAAUUUAAUGAAGGCUAGCUGGUUUCAGUCUUACCCAGUGGAAAGUCUUACCAUAUACAAUUAAGACCAACAUGAAGCCUCACUUUUUCCUGCUUUCUUUUGUUUUUCCCAUUUGUAGCACAGUGUUCUCUGCUUCAUCCAGGCAAAAUGUACAUUUAACAACUACAGCUGUACACCAUAAAGCAUGGCCUGUAAUGUCACUUCUUUACACUGUCUGAUCUUGGCACAUUUUUUUGCAGACAUCACCAUAGAUGCAAUCAGUAGCAAUUAAAGCAUGAAAAUGUCAGCAAAAAUUAUAUCUUUUUUUUUUAAUUUUUUUUGUGCCUAAAGACAGCUUAAAUAGACUAAAUUAGCAAUAACGCUGCAUUCUGUUUUACUUUAAUUAAAGUAAUGCUGGCUAUUUCUGAAACAUUCCAGUUCUUAAUUAACAAAUGAAUAACUCUUAUAAAAUAUCCAACUUGAUGCCUGUGUGUAUAUGUUUACAUGACUCAGCAAGGUCAUUCUAGUAGGUAUACUCUGGGGACGUAACUGAAUAUGAAUACAUUAUACGGUACGUAUUGAACCAAUAAUGUGUUCUAAACAGAUGCAAAUACAGAUACUCAAUAUUAUAAGUCACAAAUUUGCUGACUUUCGACUCAACAUAAAUUAAGAAAACCUGUGACUCUACUUUGACUUUCAUCAAUGACUUGUGACUUCACUUGGACUCGAGCCCUUUGACUUUGGUACAUUUUCAAACAUCAACUAUUCUUUAUCCCAUCAAACAAGACAUUUUCAGCAAAUCGGCAUCAAUCCUCAUUUCAAAGGUUAAUAUUCAACCAGUUCAACAGCCAGUCAACCUUCAUUAGACAACGAGAAGGUUAAAAGAGUGCUCAUUUCCUGACGACAGAGACGCUUCUGCAGUAGCCAUGCUCACAUGUAUAAAGUAGCUUUCGCCUUAAAAAAAUUAUGUUUGCAACAUGUAGAACCUGUGGUUCAAGAAUCAGCUGCAAAAGCAACAACUUCAAGUUUUGUUUAGCAUUUGAAGUUGCACCGAUGGAUACCCUUAGUGAAAAUAGUCUACACCUCAUCUCAUGUGAAACUGAACUGAAAUAUUUAGUUUUAUUGUAAUAGUCAUGCUUCUCUCAAAUAACCAUAUUUUUCCACUGAGUUAUAAAGUUUGUCUAGAAAAUGAUGAACACCAUUUAAAAAAAAAAAAAAAAUCUUGAAUGAUUUGUAUAAAUUUUCUAGAUUAAAGUGAUAGUUCAACCAAAAAUGAAAAUUCUGUCCUCAAUUACUCCCCCUCAUGUCGUCCCAAAUCCGUAAGACUUUUGUUCAUCUUAGGAACACAAAUGAAGACAUUUUAAUGAAACCUGGGAGAUUUCUUUCCCUCCAUUUACAGACCAGUAUCCAAAACUUUCAAGCUCCAAAACAAAAAGUUCAUAAAGGCAACGUAAAAGUAAUCCAUGUGACUCCUGUGGUUUAAUCCCAAUUUUAUGAAGCGAUAUGAAUGCUCUGCGUGCGCAAAAAAAAAAUCAAAUUAAGUCUUUAUUCACAAAAUAUCUGACACAAGAUCUCUGAUACCCAAUCAUGAGAGAACCAAGACACACACGUGUUGUGCUGAUGCGAGAGUGGACAAAAAAUGCAAGUCCUCAUCUAUGUCCAACUCUGCAGACAUUGUUAUUAUGUGACUCAGUUUGUGUACAGUGUCCCUCUUCAUCUGCUGUAAACAGUGCAGCGCUUCCAGGUCUCGCUGUAUCUUGAGAGUGGAAUGUCAGAAAUCUCCCAGGUAUCAUUAAAAUGUCUUCAUUUCUGUUCUGAAGAUGAACGAAAGUCUUAUGGGUUUGGGACGAUAUGAGGGGGAGUAACAACCACAGAUAUUGGUUGUUUUCCAUUGCUUGUUUUUUUUGCUUGUCAUUGAUUAUUUUCUCAAACCGUCUUCCUUGUCUCUUCUACAAUAAAGCUAUGUCUUAAAGCUAGACGAAUGAGUUUCCAGCAGCUUUCACUGGAAUAUUUCCAUCACACAUGGCAGUAUGAUCACAUUAUUAGGUCAUGAAUUUAUUGAUAGGAAACAUCUUGAUAUUGUGCCAUAUGCAAAGUUUAAUCAACCUGUAGGGUUGUUUUCUUGUUUAUUUCUUCUUUCACUUGUCCAUUGAUUUGAUAUUGUCACAUCAAGAGACCAUUAUGCUUGAAUCAAAAUGAUUCUACGAAUUCGAAACAAUUUAUUGUACCAACCUUUUAUCAAAGACAGAUGCUAAAGUAAUAAAUAAUGCUGCUAUUGAAAAGCUGUAAGAUAGAUGGAAACUUUCAUGCAAUUUAUACAUGCACAUGUGUAAACACAUACUGCUUGCACACAUGUAGCCUAUGUUUUAGCAUAUAUCUCUAUCCUAUACAAGUUUUAGCUAUGUCCGGUAGCACAUGUACAUUUCAGCACAGAUAUACAAACAUGAGCCUUGAUGUCUAUGGUAGAAAUGUUGAAUCCAUGUGAAAAUCAUCCCCAAAAGGACCGUUAAGGACAACUUAAGACAGCUUAGUGUUCUAAUGACCUCCAGAGUUGAUGAAAGGGAACAUAACAUUCACACACUACACUAGACUUUGCCCACAUUUUAGUGACUAAUCGCUGAUAAUAGCUUAUGAGCUUGUGCAUCCAUUGGCCUAUGUUAUGAUUUGAAAAUUUUUUAAUUUACCGUGUGGAAAGGACUCGAUAACUAGUUGGCAUUAUUCAGAAUAAUCAUCAUCAAUACAGUUAUAAUGACAGGUUAGCGGAUCGCAUCAUGUACACUGUCAUAUCUCUGCACAGAUCACAAGCAGAUCUCUAUUCCCCUCCACAUGGGUAGUUAGAUGUUUUUUGAGAGCAAAUGCCCAUCAUUUGCCUAAAUGUGAGCCUGUUGAUGCCUUCUUUUUCCGGCAUAUUCACAGGCUCCCUCCUGCCUUCUUCUAGUGCCUGGCAUUGCAGCUGGAGGAUAAUUGUGUAUUCGACCAAAUGUCUUGAAGGGCUGUGCAGUGCUGCGAAUCCGGCUGACAUCGCUCCCAGCCCACUCUGACCAAGCGUUGUGUAACUCUCCCCCUUUCAUAACACAAUUCAUCAACAACAUAACUCUGCAUGUUAUUCAUGCCUUCCCCUCCCACACAGGAACUGUCACCCACACUCCUCACCCCAUCUUGAGAUGGCUGUGGAUGCUUCCCACGCAUACUUUCUCUCUCCAGCACUCAUACACUUGUACAUGCAUGCGCACACACACACACACACACACACACACACACACACAAAUACAAAAGCGCUAAUAGGCACAUGUACACCCAAACACACUCACACACAUUCAAGCUCUCCUGGCCAUGGUGUUAAAAAUACCUCAUCUUAUUUAAUUGCUUCCUUUCUGCUCCACAUAUCUCACUGAGAGUUCUUUCUCUUUUUUUGUUAGUCUGCUUCUUUGUGGAAAAGGAAAUAAAACUGUGAGUUUUUUCCCCCUCCAGUCUGCUUCCAGUAAGCUUGCGUUUGCCUGUGCGGGGACCUGGAAUGUGCAAUAUAAAUCUGUUUUUUGACACUGUAGAGGUUUGUAACUUCCAUCAGCUGACCAUCUGGAUGUGAUUUAAGCUGGCUUCCCUAUCUGUGUUGGUUUCCCUCCCCUGAUGCAUGCCAUGCCUAGCCAAGGGAUCACUUUGUGCUUCAUCUUGCGGGUUCUAAUGAGGAGUCAGCAGGACACUCCAGGUGGCUGACUUGUACACAUUUAGGGUGAUAGAUCCCACAGACCUGCUAACACAGUCCAAAAAACACACUGUGGAAAGUGCUGGGUGAGGAAAAAUACAUCUUUUGUGAGGAGACAGGAUGAAUAGUAGAAAAAGAAAGGUGUGUAUGUUGAGUAUUAUGAGUGAAGGUGUCAUGAGAAUAUUAUUAGUGGGUUGUUAGAGAAGGGUUUUGUCUUAGAAACUUCCUGAGCUACAAUGUCUUUCCAUUCUUCAGCCAAGGAAUAUUCUAGGAAAGAUGGCAGCUAACUAGCUUGUCUCUGUCUUUGCAGAAUGUGCUUCUUUAUCUUCUUACACACAUUAUUAAUCAGUGAAACAAUAUGUGCCAGCUAUAAGAGAACACGAUACUUCAGUGUAGGAUCUGAAGUUCAGUCAGACUCUCACGGAUGUGCUCUGCGAGUGCCAGUUGGAACUGUAAAAGAGCUGGAUAAUACUUAAAACACGAAUCUAGAGAAAUCAGUGCUUGUCUUGCAUAAUUUCUCAAUUUGACGAGAAAAAGUCGCAUACAAACCCAGAAAUAAAUUUUAAAAAAGGAUUCUGCAAGAACUCGCUCCAAUCCGUUCCUUUGUUUCAGUGAAAUACUCGUUGAUUGGAGACAAGUUGUUGAAGUAUUCUGUCAUGCAACUAAUGAUGAGAGAGAGGAAAAAAACAACUCUGCCUGCUCUGCUAACAGCGUACCUCCUCGGUAUCAUGGGCAGGAUGUCAUCUGGCCAGCAGAGAAAAGAUAGAACCUGAUAUCUGGAUCAUCCAUCCUGGCUCAUCAGUAACCCCAUCUUCCUCCUUAGAGCUUGUUUGGGUGGGGAUGCAAAGCCCCAGGACCAUACAUUCCUUGUUUUGACCUCUGGAUCAACUUAAAGCCGAGAAGUGAGGCAUUGUUAUCUAAUUAUAUGUGUCACAUUCCUGAUUUUUCAGUCUUGAAGUUGCAAAACUAUUUUUUAGUAUGGAAAAAAAAAAAAAAACCCAGAGAAACAGCCAGGCUUGAUUAAAUUUCCAUUUGGAACAGCCAUAUAGACAUAUUACAGAAUAUGACUCUUAAUUCAUAAAAAAUAUCUGAUCUGCUUGUGUGUACGGGUGUGUGUGUGUGUGUGUGUGUGUGUGUGUGUGUGUGUGUGUGUGUGUGUGUGUGUGUGUGUGUGUAUACGUACGAGUGUGUGUGUAUGUGUGUGUACGGGUGUGUGUGUGUGUGUGUGUGUGCACACGCGCUUUAGCAUGUGUAUUUUCCACUUACUCAUUCUUUUCAGACAUCAUUAUUUUCUUGACAGUGUGUAUAUCCUGCUCACACAUUCCUGUGCACACACAGAAAAAGUGCACCAAUGUAUUUUUGGUCUGGCUUUUAAAAAACACAUAGAGUUGCUAAAUUCUGUUUCUACAGCUUGUGCUAUCCUUUUUCUCUUUUUUUUUUCUUCCUUUUUUUUUUUUUUACCAGCUGAUCAUUAUGAAGUAUGUUGAAGGGGAGAGGAAAGAUAGAAGGAAAUAUUUUCUAAUGCAGAAUGAUAUAGGCAGCAGAGCUCACUAUAAAACUGCAAAAUGACACUCUGUGGGGAAAAAAAGCAUAAGAAACGAUAAGGAAUUUAUGUAGAAGAUAUAUUUGAAUCAGGACAGCAUGGUGGCGCAGCGGGUAGCAUUGCUGCCUCACAGCUCUAGUGUCCUGGGUUUGAUCCUGAGUUUGGGUUACUGUCUUAUUUUGUAUGGGUGUUCUCUGAGUUCUCCGGUUUCCUCCCACUGUCCAAAAACAUGCAGGCAAGUGGAUUGGUUACACUAUGUAGUGGUUACACCCUAGUAGUGAAUGAGUAUAUGAGAGAGAGAGAGAGAGUUUGUGUGUGUGUGUGUGUGUGUGUGUGUGUGUGUGUGUGUGUGUGUGUGUGUGUGUGUGUGUGUGUGUGUUUUUGUGGUGCCCUACGAUAGACUGGUGUUUUUGCUUUGUUCACUGGUAUCAUAAUUUUGUUUUGGUAUUAUAACUUUUAAAUGGAAGUGAACAUUAGGUACUGAAAAUCAUGUUUAAAAUGAUCUAAUGAUGAGCUUGAAUUUGAAUGUUUGUUUAAUUAUGCAUUAAUUAGGCUAUUUAUGUGCACUAUUUUAGAAGUAUUUCACAUUCUUCUGCAUUCACUUUCUCUCUCUCUCUCUCUCUCUCUCUCUCUCUCUCUUGCUCUCUCUUGCUCUCUUUCUUGUUUAUCAUUUAUAAAAAUGGGUAUGUUGCUAAAACUACACAAACCUGCUAUACACCAAAACCAGAAACCCUUGUGCCGCUGCUGCUUGUGGGUUCAAACUCAUGAUUCUUGGUUUGUGAGCACAUAUUUUCCUGUGUCAGGAAUGGAAGAAACUGAAAACAAAACAAACUAUAAGUUAAAGUUUCAGGUACUAUAAAAACCACUGGCUUUUCUGCUGUGCUAUUUUUAGUGCUCACUCCAGCCCCCAGUCGUCGGUGUCACAUAGUUUCCUCACUAUUUCACAGGCAGCUUCACAGAGAUGAGGAAAAAAAGCACAUAGAACAUGUUGCUUUAGCAUCAUGCUGAGUCUUUUGGGGACAUAAUGAAACUCAAGAUUUGUAGUAGUGUGUAAUAAAAAAACAUUUAUUUUGAAAGAUCUUACAUGUUUACUUUUAAGCCUUGAUACACGGCUAAGCAGAAAAACAACAGAGCAAUGAACAUGGCAUCAUUUCUUCAUAGUUCUGUGCCUUUAGACACCCACACACAUCUGACAUUAACGUCACUUGUGUUCCAUAGGCUAUUUUUAAACAUUUGUGUCUUUUUAGAAAAUGAGUGGGCAUGGUUGUUAAUGGUGAAAUGUAAAAGGGUGUCAGCUUCUCUGUUUCUUUUCAUUGACAAGAUUUAACAUGCUUAUUAGAAUAGCAAGCUCUUACAGAACAUUCAGUAUAUUUAGUCAAAAAUAUUUUAAUGUUACAUUUGCAAUAGCAUGCAUAAACUAAACUAUAUUCAAAACAUUAUUUGUAUAUAUUAAAAAUAAUUGUGUUCUCUCGUUAUCUUUUGUAG
Long non-coding RNA from Ictalurus punctatus (channel catfish), 8266 nucleotides. NCBI's taxonomy places the organism in Eukaryota, Metazoa, Chordata, Actinopteri, Siluriformes, Ictaluridae. The record is from Ensembl.